Notolabrus celidotus (New Zealand spotty) is the source of this 2658-nucleotide RNA transcript. It is a transcript of the gene named CFAP20 domain containing, with no coding region annotated. NCBI's taxonomy places the organism in Eukaryota, Metazoa, Chordata, Actinopteri, Labriformes, Labridae. The record is from RefSeq and is a predicted model, not a curated record. The transcript has 17 exons.
GUUGUGCUCACCAUGGUAACCUGUGUAAACAAAACAGGUGUCCUACACCUGCAGCCGUAAAAGAGGAACGUACUUAACUCUUGUAAAACGAUGUGCUAAUCCCGAGCUAUCAGUUUGUUUACCAACAUAACGUACUUUUAUCUAAGUAAAGUAAACGUGCACGUCAAAUAAUUUGAAAAUGUUCAAGAAUAAUUAUCAGGGUGGAGCAGCGGUGGAGAUCUUCAGUGGACAGGGAAAAGACCCUGCAGCGAAAUGGAAACUUAGCGGAGGGCCCUCGGUCAUACACAAGGAGUAUGAUAAAGAAGUCAAAGGAUUUGUUUACUGCCUGGAGGGAAGCAGCCAGACAGUCAAGAUGCAAAUGCCAAUGAAUGGGAAAAUGUCUCUUGGGCUUCUCCAAAGAUUCUUGGUCCUUCAAGUGUAUAUUCCUCAAAUAAAAGACUUUUCAACUGAGCUUGUAAUAACGGAUUCACAGCACCUGAAAAGAAGACUUCACCUAUCAACUGUGCACAAAGAGUUGUCUUCCACUCUUUUGCAUGCAAAGAUACCUCUUGUAGGAUUGAAACGCAAUAUUUGGUCUACUUUGUGCAUCGACCUUGUGUCAUUCUCUGAUGAACUGUUCAAGGGGUUUUUGACGCUGGAUGGCAUCACUUUGUAUGCUACCUGUAAAGUCCGCAGAAUCCUCACCAUCAAACCAGAGCCUUCAGGAAUGUCAGAGGACGAUAUGUUCCUGAGUGGAGCCGGUCUCAUGGACUUGAUCCCUCGUAGUUGCCACUUCCCACCAGGUGUCAGCCACGUCAUUCAGGUGCUGGACAUGCAGAGUCUACAGAAGGCAGAUGUGAGGGCUGGGCUGUUGAGCUCUGACUGUGUUCCUGAUAAAUCUGCAAUGACCAAAACACCCAGGACUCAAAGAACCAGGCCACAGGUUGUUUCACAUGCAGCUGCAGCCUCCAGGGUUCCAGGGUCAUCCUCACGCUCAGGAAGAGAAAGCAGCGUGACCUCAGACAGAGUGGAAAGAAGUUUACUCUGCAUCUCAAAAUCGAGAUCCUCGCUCAGUCGUACGAACAAAAAAGUUGCAGCAGAAAGUCAGAGCAGUGCCGACCUGGGUGAGACUUUAUUACAAGGAGAACCAAGUUCACACAGCCUGCCUGAGGUACUUAAUGCAGGAACACCUGGCAGUUUGCAGCCACAUCCACCAAAAGACAAAGUGUUUGACAAGGUGGGAUCUAAAAAGCUGCGAGUCUGCAGCGCUGGAAAAGAGAAGCCAGCACUAUCAGCUCCUCUUCAAAAUGCUACCCCAAGUAGCUUUAGACAGAGAAGUAAAGCUAAAGAGAUUUGCUCUUUGCAAGUGAGCAGGCAGCCUCUGACCCCAACAGAAAAGUAUGAUGACCUCACUGCAGAUGAGUGUAGCUACAGCCCUGACAAGGAAAGUUCAGAAGCUGCUACGACACCAGCAGAGUCUGUCUCCUGUUCGGUUUGUCCAGCUUUGUCUGCUGACCUGCAGGUCUGUAGCAGCUGGGAGAGUAAUGAGGGGUCUGAGCCCGAGCUCAUUCUGCAAGAGGUGUUCACUUUCUUAUCCCAGCCACACUCCCCCAAACGUGGGCAAGGCCCAGGCGACCAGGAGAAGGUGGAGAUGGAGGAUGAGCAGGUAGAAAGCGGCAGCAGGAGGCGGUAUGAGGCCCAGCCUGAACAUGACUUUAUCGGUAGUGAAAGUGAUGAGGAUACCACCUACACAACAUACCAUCAUCAAAGAAGUAGUGCCGAGUCCAACCCUUCCACUCCCAGAUCUCCCAAUGCAACAUUAGAAGUGCAACUUGAAGUCCAUCCUGAAUCUCAAAACAUGGACCGAACAACACAAAGAGAGCUCCGUCCAACUGCUGCCAGUACACAGCCUGCACUCAGAGGAAGAGCUGAACCUGCUGGGAUCGUCCCCACACGGUGCCUCUCACCCAGCACGACACCCAGCAGACAGGAACAGAAGUGUCACCCACAGGGAUCAGAGGUAGUGAGCCAGGUUCUGGUUGAUAACAGCAGUGUAUCUCUUUCCCGUAGACUGCUGCAAGAAGUCAAAGUGGAGGACUCAACACGGCCAAAGGAAGGAGAAGUCAUCACACUGCACUCUGUUGAUCCAGCGACCACAGCUUAAACCUGCUUAGCAGUCUGCAGGAACAUGUAAGGAUGAUGAUGAGGAGCUCCGAAUGCUGGCAAGUCUGAAAAGGGAGCAGGAGGAAGAUGAAUGCAGAGCCUCGGGCCUCAGCACAUCUCAGAUCCACCAGUGCAAUGUCAGCAUCAGCAUUAGCACUGACGACACUUCAACCUGGACCACAUCUCCACGCCAGCUAAUCAGGGUCACCAUUAUCAGAAGGAAAUGAGCCCCCUACUGCAAUCAAACCCCAGGGAGUGGAUGGAUGUGCUCAGCCCGCCUAUUAUGCCUCCCAGUCAGCAGAGAAGGUCAGACGGCACGUGGAACAAUCCGGGGAACUUAAUCGCAGGAGAGGAAGAGUCGCUGAAUGAAGAGGAGAACGAGGAAGAGUAUUUGAAUCUGCUGUAUGAUCCUUGCCUCAACUGCUAUUUCGAUCCAAAGACGGGGAAGUACUACGAACUAGCUUGACUCAAAGCUCAAGAGAAUCCAAAUAAAUAAAUCAGAAGUCAUUAAUAGUG